RNAcentral lists this long non-coding RNA (625 nucleotides) under Monodelphis domestica (gray short-tailed opossum). Its description in RNAcentral is "lncRNA (ENSMODG00000047933.1)". The record is from RNAcentral. Lineage: Eukaryota; Metazoa; Chordata; Mammalia; Didelphimorphia; Didelphidae.
CUGCCAGGGACAUAUUGAACAUUCUGGGUCUUUCUUCUUGAGAUCUCUUGAUUUGGAUACCCUCCUAUCAAUGCAGAUUAGGCAUUGUUUUUCAAUUUUCCAAUUUCAUAGGGUUGCAUGGGGCACCAAAAGGUUAAAUAAUUUGUCCAGGGUCACAGGACCUUCUAAUGAAAAGCUCAUGUGAACUGAUAUAGAACAAGAUAUCAUUAUUGCAACUCCUGCCUUCUUUCUAUCAGUUGAGGCCCAGAAGGUCUUACUCCAUCCUUUAAUUCUGACCUUGUGUGUUUCUUGAAGACAACAUCCUUUCUGCUAUUCGUCUAUGUUUUAUGGGUGAGUUCAUCCCUUUCAUGUUCAAAGUUAUGAUUGUCACUUGUGGAUUCCCUGGCAUUUUGAUAUCCUCCCCUAAUUCUGACCUUUCUUCUUUAGCAAUAACCUUUUAAACCAGUGAUUUACUUUAAAUUAGUCCCCUUAGUCCCCUCCCUUGAUAUUCUUUCCUUUCUAGUCCCUCUCUUUUUGUGUUCCCUCCAUCCUUGGUUUUCCCUUCUCCCUUACCUUAUUGGAUAAGAUAGAAUUCAAGAUCUCAAUGGAUCUAGAUGCUUUUCCCUCUCAGAGUUGAUUUCACCGA